GAACGCUGGCGGCAUGUUUACACAUGCAAGUCGAACGGUAACAGGUCUUCGGAUGCUGACGAGUGGCGAACGGGUGAGUAAUACAUCGGAACGUGCCUAGUAGUGGGGGAUAACUACUCGAAAGAGUAGCUAAUACCGCAUGAGAUCUACGGAUGAAAGCAGGGGACCUUCGGGCCUUGUGCUACUAGAGCGGCUGAUGGCAGAUUAGGUAGUUGGUGGGGUAAAGGCUUACCAAGCCUGCGAUCUGUAGCUGGUCUGAGAGGACGACCAGCCACACUGGGACUGAGACACGGCCCAGACUCCUACGGGAGGCAGCAGUGGGGAAUUUUGGACAAUGGGCGAAAGCCUGAUCCAGCAAUGCCGCGUGCAGGAUGAAGGCCCUCGGGUUGUAAACUGCUUUUGUACGGAACGAAAAGCCUGGGGCUAAUAUCCCCGGGUCAUGACGGUACCGUAAGAAUAAGCACCGGCUAACUACGUGCCAGCAGCCGCGGUAAUACGUAGGGUGCAAGCGUUAAUCGGAAUUACUGGGCGUAAAGCGUGCGCAGGCGGUUUUGUAAGACAGUGGUGAAAUCCCCGGGCUCAACCUGGGAACUGCCAUUGUGACUGCAAGGCUAGAGUGCGGCAGAGGGGGAUGGAAUUCCGCGUGUAGCAGUGAAAUGCGUAGAUAUGCGGAGGAACACCGAUGGCGAAGGCAAUCCCCUGGGCCUGCACUGACGCUCAUGCACGAAAGCGUGGGGAGCAAACAGGAUUAGAUACCCUGGUAGUCCACGCCCUAAACGAUGUCAACUGGUUGUUGGGUCUUAACUGACUCAGUAACGAAGCUAACGCGUGAA
RNAcentral lists this ribosomal RNA (833 nucleotides) under uncultured Comamonas sp. RNAcentral's name for it is "bacterial SSU rRNA". It matches the Rfam family "Bacterial small subunit ribosomal RNA", at positions 31 to 863 of the family's 1533-position model. Lineage: Bacteria; Pseudomonadati; Pseudomonadota; Betaproteobacteria; Burkholderiales; Comamonadaceae. The record is from RNAcentral.